GAUGGCAAAAGGGAAGGAUUUAGUGGAUUAUUGAAUGGGCUUUCAGAACACAAAGUGCUAAAACAAGACGAAUUUGCUAAAUGAUUCAAGUCCAUUGUAAAACACAAUACCUUUAUUAUAAUUAUUAAACACUAUUGAUAUCACAUUGCACUAUUUGUGGUAUACAUAUCCCAAAUAUGUAUAUUAUUUUCGACCACCACUUCUUCAACAUAAUCAAAGAACCACUUCCACCAAAAAAUAUUCAAAUCAAAUAUACGACGACGACGACAAAUAUUUGAUUUUUAGCUUCACGUUUAGCAGCCCUGUGCCUUUGAGUACACUUUUAAGACUUCAGUUUUAGACCAUGGGAAAAAUGAAGGACGGUUAACUGGUCCUGAAAAUAAUAACACUAUUUUAAUGAAAAGCUUUUAUUUAACUUGCAAUGCAUUUAUGUAUACAUGUAUGUUUGUUCGGGUGGAAUCUUGCUACUUACUCAAUUUUGAAGCAGAUAACUUCAACCGAUUGUACUGAAAUUUUGUAUACGCGUUUAGUUUGGAUGACAAUACACGAUAAGCUGUGUGACUUCAUUCUAAAUCUAAUAUGGCGGACCAUACAAGUUGUGGAAUAGUUAUUUAUAAUGCAUUUCUACAAUAUGGGUAUCAAAUGAAAGGGCUGAGAAUAAAAAGGUAAAAAAAAGAUGCUCUUUGCCGCUGGUCAAGCAUACGUGGCCUUAAGUAUGGUAAAAUCAUUAGAAGGUCUAGUAGACUGUAGUAUAGAAGAGCUAGUAGACUGUUCGAAAUUAACCGGCAAACGACCUUGCAACAAUGAUGCGUUGAGUGAUAUGAACAGACUCAGAAACCUAGCCAGCGAUAACUAAAAAUUAAAAAAUAAAUUAAAAGAAAAAUCUUUUUUCGAUUUAUGGUUUACAUAACGUAUAGUGGCAUUGCCAUGCACAUACCUUCACGCACAUUUGUAUCAAGAUUUUUAAAAAAAUAUAUAUAAAAUCGUUGUUUACCCCCACUUUCUACCCUCACCUACCGUGUGCCGCGCCCGUUCUUGGCUCAUUGAGUUUAACAUGUGGCAACUUUCAGAUUUAUUUCACACUUCAGGGUCGGGAAAUUGUAGCAGUAAAAUGAAUGAAAAUCAUGAGUUUUAAAGCAUGGGAGGGUGACUGACCAUAAAUCGCUUCGAAUGAAUCUGUUCACACAAUUAUCAUCGAACUUCACUUGGUAAGUUCGUUUGAUUUGUAAUUGUGUUUCACAGAUUCAUUCUCGCGAUUUAUGGUUUAUAUAACGUAUAGAUGUUCAGAGAUUUUGUUAAAUAAAUUGGAGAGUAUGGGAUAAGUUUAAAUAUUAACAAUCAGAUUAUCUCUUAAUGAAGUAUUAAGGAUAGACCUGGCAAAAUCAAUAUCUAUAAUUUCUUUAUUAUAAAACCUCGCAAAUACUUUAGAUGAAUCAGUCCAGCCAGCAGUUUUACGAAUAACAUCAAUACUGACUCCAUACCUAUUAGGAGUAGAUGUAGCAUGGCGAGUACCGUGUCCUGUGAAAAUUGACGUGUUUAUACCAUUAUCUUUCAGUGUAUUUUUUAUCCAGUGGCUUAAUCUUUGUGUAGACAAUUUUGAAAAUGGUUUCUUAUAACUAAUAAAUAAAAAUUGAUUGCCUACGUGACGUAA
This is a long non-coding RNA of Plodia interpunctella (Indianmeal moth), 1651 nucleotides long. RefSeq lists it as uncharacterized. Lineage: Eukaryota; Metazoa; Arthropoda; Insecta; Lepidoptera; Pyralidae. The transcript is spliced from 2 exons. The record is from RefSeq and is a predicted model, not a curated record.